UCUGCUUCUCAUUAUGGAAGAAGAUGCCAGCCCGUUACCCGAGGAGGGUCUUUUGGACAAAGUCCCUCUUGUGGAAGAUGGAAGAGAUGCGCCAGACUCUGUAUCUUCUCCAGAAGUUGCUGAGAUGACUGCUUCAGCCCACUGUUUAGAGAAAGCUGAGGAUGCUGCUGUGAAUAAAGGGAAGAAAGAUGUCCAGGCGAAGAUCC
Long non-coding RNA from Suncus etruscus (white-toothed pygmy shrew), 206 nucleotides. RefSeq lists it as uncharacterized. Lineage: Eukaryota; Metazoa; Chordata; Mammalia; Eulipotyphla; Soricidae. The transcript is spliced from 3 exons. The record is from RefSeq and is a predicted model, not a curated record.